GAUGAAGAACGUAGCGAAAUGCGAUAAGUAAUGCGAAUUGCAGAAUCCGUGAGUCAUCGAAUCUUUGAACGCACAUUGCGCCCUCUGGUAUUCCGGAGGGCAUGCCUGUUCGAGCGUCAUUACAACCCUCAGGCCCCCGGGCCUGGCGUUGGGGAUCGGCGGAAGCCCCCUGCGGGCACAACGCCGUCCCCCAAAUACAGUGGCGGUCCCGCCGCAGCUUCCAUUGCGUAGUAGCUAACACCUCGCAACUGGAGAGCGGCGCGGCCACGCCGUAAAACACCCAACUUCUGAAUGUUGACCUCGAAUCAGGUAGGAAUACCCGCUGAACUUAAGCAUAUCAAUAAGCGGAGGA
Molecule: unclassified non-coding RNA, 352 nt
Filed under: soil metagenome
Description: partial contains 5.8S ribosomal RNA, internal transcribed spacer 2, and large subunit ribosomal RNA
Rfam family: 5.8S ribosomal RNA (bases 1-119)
Source: RNAcentral